CCUACGGGUGGCAGCAGUGAGGAAUAUUGGUCAAUGGACGAGAGUCUGAACCAGCCAAGUAGCGUGAAGGAUGACUGCCCUAUGGGUUGUAAACUUCUUUUAUAUGGGAAUAAAACGUUCCACGUGUGGGAUUUUGUAUGUACCAUAUGAAUAAGGAUCGGCUAACUCCGUGCCAGCAGCCGCGGUAAUACGGAGGAUCCGAGCGUUAUCCGGAUUUAUUGGGUUUAAAGGGAGCGUAGGUGAAUUGUUAAGUCAGUUGUGAAAGUUUGCGGCUCAACCGUAAAAUUGCAGUUGAAACUGGCAGUCUUGAGUACAGUAGAGGUGGGCGGAAUUCGUGGUGUAGCGGUGAAAUGCUUAGAUAUCGCGAAGAACUCCGAUUGCGAAGGCAGUUCACUGGACUGCAACUGACACUGAGGCUCGAAAGUGUGGGUAUCAAACAGGAUUAGAUACCCGUGUAGUC
Molecule: ribosomal RNA, 460 nt
Filed under: uncultured bacterium
Lineage: Bacteria
Description: partial 16S ribosomal RNA
Rfam family: Bacterial small subunit ribosomal RNA
Source: RNAcentral